UGCAAGUCGAGGGGUAGAAUGUCUUCGGAUAUUUGAGACCGGCGCACGGGUGCGUAACGCGUAUGCAACCUACCUCUUACUGGGGAAUAGCCCGGAGAAAUUCGGAUUAAUGCCCCAUAUGCUCGUACGACCUCAUGGUCGAGCGAGGAAAGUUCCGGCGGUAAGAGAUGGGCAUGCGUCCUAUUAGCUAGUUGGUGAGGUAAUGGCUCACCAAGGCGACGAUAGGUAGGGGGCCUGAGAGGGUGAUCCCCCACACUGGUACUGAGACACGGACCAGACUCCUACGGGAGGCAGCAGUGAGGAAUAUUGGGCAAUGGAGGAAACUCUGACCCAGCCAUGCCGCGUGCAGGAAGACUGCCCUAUGGGUUGUAAACUGCUUUUAUACAGGAAGAAUAAGCCUUACGUGUAAGGUGAUGACGGUACUGUAAGAAUAAGGACCGGCUAACUCCGUGCCAGCAGCCGCGGUAAUACGGAGGGUCCGAGCGUUAUCCGGAAUUAUUGGGUUUAAAGGGUCCGUAGGCGGAUGAUUAAGUCAGGGGUGAAAGUUUGCAGCUCAACUGUAAAAUUGCCUUUGAUACUGGUUAUCUUGAGUUGUAUUGAAGUAGGCGGAAUAUGUAGUGUAGCGGUGAAAUGCAUAGAUAUUACAUAGAACACCAAUUGCGAAGGCAGCUUACUAAGUACUAACUGACGCUGAUGGACGAAAGCGUGGGUAGCGAACAGGAUUAGAUACCCUGGUAGAAGGGC
Molecule: ribosomal RNA, 744 nt
Filed under: uncultured Flavobacteriia bacterium
Lineage: Bacteria; Pseudomonadati; Bacteroidota; Flavobacteriia
Description: bacterial SSU rRNA
Rfam family: Bacterial small subunit ribosomal RNA
Source: RNAcentral